RNAcentral lists this ribosomal RNA (475 nucleotides) under uncultured Spartobacteria bacterium. Its description in RNAcentral is "bacterial SSU rRNA". It matches the Rfam family "Bacterial small subunit ribosomal RNA", at positions 9 to 472 of the family's 1533-position model. Lineage: Bacteria; Pseudomonadati; Verrucomicrobiota; Spartobacteria. The record is from RNAcentral.
GAGUUUGAUCUUGGCUCAGAACGAACGCUGGCGGCGUGGAUAAGACAUGCAAGUCGAGCGGGGCAUGAUUUGUAGCAAUACAAAUGAUGUUCAGCGGCGCAAGGGUGCGUAACACGUGGGCAAUCUGCCGAGAAGUGGGGGAUAGCUCGCCGAAAGGCGAAUUAAUACCGCAUGUGGUUAAGGACGACAUCGUUCUGACACCAAAGCCGGGGUAACCUGGCGCUUCUUGAUGAGCCCGCGGCCUAUCAGCUAGUUGGUGAGGUAACGGCUCACCAAGGCUAUGACGGGUAGCUGGUCUGAGAGGACGACCAGCCACACUGGAACUGAGACACGGUCCAGACACCUACGGGUGGCAGCAGUCGAGAAUUUUUUCUCAAUGGGGGAAACCCUGAAGGAGCGACGCCGCGUGGAGGAUGAAGGUCUUCGGAUUGUAAACUCCUGUCAUUUGGGAACAAUGAUUAGUCAUUAACUGUGA